Long non-coding RNA from Oncorhynchus tshawytscha (Chinook salmon), 4829 nucleotides. Lineage: Eukaryota; Metazoa; Chordata; Actinopteri; Salmoniformes; Salmonidae. The record is from Ensembl.
CAAGAAGCAAACGGAGUAAAAAAGAAAGAAUACAUUUCACACACCAGAGUUGCAUAACAUUUAACAAACCAAACACUGAAAUAUAGUUUUAGAAUGUAAAGUUAAAACCCAAACUGGUCCUUGCAUCAAUACCGGGACCCAGUCAAAUAUGCUAUACCGCCCAGCCCUAAGUAAGACAGAGCAAGGAUAUCUGCUUUGGUACUCCUUACCCUUCAUUGAACCAGUCUGUGUCCGAGUGUCCAUGGGUUCUUGUCCAUCUUUGAAGUUGAACGACUCUGGCAGCACACUGAACCUCAGAACACUGUUCUCCUCAAGAGGCAAAAGAGCAGGGCUCCUGAUCUUAAUUGUACUUUUUUCCACUGUAACAGGUUUGCUGGAUGGCACUGCCUUGAUCCUAGAUUUCUUCAGUCUGAGUUUCAGGCCAUUUAAGAUUCUCUCUCUUUCAAAGUGCCGCAAAGUCUGCUUGACCCUUACGGUUCUUUCUGGUGUGGCUCGUCUUUCAGAGGAUAAUGCACUACCAUCUGUGUUGGUCGAGGUAACAGUCUUUUUGGCAACUUCAGCACAAACAAUCUUCGGAGCAAAGCCUCUUCUGUUUCGUAGUCUUGGUCUGCCCCUGGACUUUGUCUUCUUUGUUGGCACAAAACUGUUCUCCCACUCGUUGAAGAGCCGUUGUCUGACUGGGCUUUCCACUGGCGGGCUGGUCUCGGAGGGCUCUAUCCUCCAGGACUUGACAUUCACAAUGAGGGUUAAAGGAGGUGCUGGAGCUUUGUCUGCAAAAGGUCUAGGUCGAGAAGAAUUAUGGUCCUUGCGUUGGCCAGUUACUACAGUCCCAUUUGUCCUCUGGGGCGAGGAACCAAACAAGUUGAAUGAAGGGACCCAAACCUUGCCUUAUUUUCCUUCGCUUUCUUGGGACAGAAUGAGGACCUUCAACACAUCUCUUGUGUCCAACCCCUUUUUGUUUAACCUUCCAGCUACAAUUUAAUUUAGGCGAUAGAUGCUUGUGACAUCUUUGUGCCAAGGAGAGUGAUGUUAGAAAACUGAUUUUCUCUUUCUCUGGUUGGCGUAGCAGAUUAGAAGUAGGAAUGGUAACUGUAGGAAUGACUUCACUACCCCCAAGGUUCCUUUCUUCCAAAGAGACACUAAGUGCUUGUACACAUUCCAUUUGUUUCUGGAGUGGACCUGGUAGUUGCUGCUUUGGCUGUACAUUGUCCCACACUAGCUCAGACAUUGGGGUGGAUACUUUGAGAAAGUCUUCAUAGCUCGAGAAGACAUCUUCAAUUUCAACUUCAACAAUGUUUGGGCACUUGCUGGGCAGGCACAGUGAUGGGGGUUUUGACAAUGGCAAGCUCUUCGCCCCAUUAGUGUAUGGGCGAUCAGUCUCAGAUUCACUAUCAGACAAGAAAAUAGUUUGGCAUUCAAUGCCUGUAGAUUUCCCUGAUUGGGGAUUCCCAUUUUUACCAGGAUUCCCUUCCCUCUUUCUUUCUGCUGUGCCAUUUGAUUUCCAUAAAUCCAGGCUUUCCCUUUGUUCUGCAUUUGUUGUGCUCGGUUCAACAGCCAAAGUUCCCUCGACAAACAUCUUUGCAUUCACAGUGGCCUUUGUCAAACCCAAUUCAGUCUUGUACUGGCAUUUGCAGGACACAGAAUUGGUGGACCCACUGAACACUGCCUUCCAACGUGAGAGACAACAGUAAUCUUCCGAUUGGACAUCCAAUUCAUAUUUUACAGUCGUCAACUUUACAUCUACUCUCUCAGAUGAUUUAUCCUCCACGGAGUAAUCUUUCAACUCAUUCAGCUCCACAUCCACUGGCAAUUUCAACUGGUCUUCUCCCACUUUGUCUUGCAGUAGCUGGCCAUUGAAAAACCGCAUAGCCUCUUCUGGUGUCAGCACGUUGAUCUCCAGGGAGGAAAAUGGGUCACAUAAAAUGGUGUUUUCACUUUCUUUCUUAACUGGUGAGAGGGUGUGUGUAGAGCUGUGUGCCAAACUUGACCCUUGAAUUUCUUUAGGAUCAGAUUCAGAGGGUGCUGGUCUCUCUGUCUGAAUCACCUCAGUCUGCAUGUCACUGGCAGAGUCUUCAUUUUCUACAGAAUUUUCAUUUUCGGUACAAUUCCGUUUUGGUUGUUCAUCUCCUCUUCGAAAAGUCUGUUGGUGAUAUAUUAGUGACGAAGGGAAUCCAAACUCCCUGUCUAUGUCAUCAAGCUGCUUAUUGGUGUUCAGCCACGAGGACUCUUGACCCGGGACAACGGGGUAAACAGAAUCAUGUUUAAGAAUGACACACUUCUCUUCAACUUGAGCCCAGUUUUUGCGCCUGACUUGUGAAAAUAUGACAGACUGUGAUGACAUAUCUUUGCCACACACAGAUCUAACCUCUCGCAUUAUAUUCUGGAAGAUACCAGAUCUUACAGCAUCUAUAAGCUUCUGCCCAUCUCCAUCCCAAUAGAGGCUUAGUAGCUUGCUUUCAACCAGUGUCUCAGAGCAUUUUGGAUGUUGCACAGUGUCUACCAACUCCUUCAAUUUACCAAGUCUCCAUUUGAUUACAGGAACUGAGGACAACUCAAAAAUGUCCUCAUCUGAAACUAGUUUUUCAUUUGUUUCCUCACUCAAUUGGUUAACAUGCACAUGAGUGGUCAUUUCUGUGCCAGCUAACUCUUUUCUCUGAGUGGCUUGACAUUUCAAAUUAGAUAAUGGUUGAGAAUCAACUUUCUCUACAUGUAAGCAGUUCGAUAGUGACGGUUCAGACUCAAAAUAUGAAUAUGUCUUGGCCAGUUCAACAACUGAAGUUUCUGAAUCCUGAGUCACUGUUCUUCCAGCACCCAAUUCUAAUGUAGCUUCUGGUCUGACCUUGGGGACCUUUUGUUCAAAUUCAUUUGUCAAAGAAGCAGAUACAGUAAGGGUUGUUUGGGCUUGUGAUGGACUCUGGUCACAAGAUUCUUCCCCAGGGUUGCUCACAUUUUCAUCACUAGUUGAGAACGACAUACCUUGGGUAGUCAAGGGCAUUCUAUCAGCCACGUUGAGAGAUGUGUUUGUCUGCAUACACUGCGAUAGUGGUUGUACAACGGCGAUGGCCUUCUGCACCGUAGGAACAGAGGGGGCAUUAAUUGCAGAUGAUCCUUGCCGUACCAGAGCACUUUCAUUAGGUUUAUCUCCUAUCAAAAUAACCUUUUCUGCUCUAAAUCCAUUUCCACUUUUGUCCUCUGUUACCGUUACGUAAUAGCCCUGUCUUAUGGGGUAUGACGGUGGCACAGACUCACAGUUUUGCUGGCCUGAAAACUGCAUACCAUGGUUUAGCACAGAUGAAGAUUGUCCAGUGUUGGAUGUCAGAACAUAGGUGUUUUUUGGCUUGUAAUGUAGGGUAUGGGCUGAGCCUUGGUUUGGUAUGUAUUGCAGAGAAUGUGCUCCUGCCCCAACCACAUAUCCAGUCUUGUUCAGCAUGGGUCCAUGUGAGCGCUGGCCUGGGUAUGGUGGAGGAGCGGACUCACGGGUGUGCUCGACUGAAGACUGUAUACCAUUGUUUGGCACAGAUGAAGAUGGUCCAGUGUUGGACACCAGAACGUCUGCCUUGUAAUGUAGGUUGGAUACGCCUUCGAUAUGGGGCCUAGGAUAUGGGGCAUGGUGUGCAUUAUUUUUAAUGGCCCCUGCCUGACUGUUCAUAUUUGCACAAUUUGACACAAGUCUGUUCUGUUGUGGUGGGUUGGUAAGGCCUGCAGGGCGAUAUCUUUGAAAAUUAUUAAGAGAAGGGUUAUGCAUAACAUUGUAUUGAGGAUUCUGGCUAAUGUUAUGCAUUGGCAUUGACUGCCCCACUGUAGCAUUUGGUAGAUUGACCUGGUUGUUGCUGUCCGUGAGAGGUUGGAAGGGAUACAUUUGACUGUGGUUUGAUGGGUCAGUUUGGACAGGUGUGCUAUGUUGAACCCUGUUCAUCUCAGUCCUGUUGUUAUUGUUUUGAUUUAGAAUCAAAUAGAGUUGUUUAUAUGCUGUGGGAGACUGUGGAGAUGUCCUCGAUGGCACACUACUUGUCUCCUGUGCAAUUUGCAAAGAGUUUGGUGUUUGUGGAUAUCCCUGAUGAAGAGCUUGAACCGCCAUCCUACUUGAAUCCUUUCCACUCACUACAGUCCAUUGAUGAUUGACAUGAUUGGGACUCCUACCCAUUGCAAGAGCAGCAGAGGUACCACUGGAGGUCCCCUCUUGUCUGCCAAGUACCAGCUGCUGACUGCCACUUGCUGGUCUUUGGAGAUAAAUACAAUUUGUAUUCAGUGAUGCAUUAAUAUCAGAGGGGCAGUGAAUGGUUGCACCCUGACCAUCCUGUACCAACCUCUGUGAAUUGUUACCAUUAACACCCAAAGACCUAUGUUCCUGCUGGAAAGUGGUUUGAAAAGCAUCGUUAACCCUUCCAGGCAGGGUGUGAUGGUAUCCACUUUGUGAUGUAACACUAGUUGAUUGUGCAGCUGCAUUGUUAGUCAAGAGUGAUGUCAAAAGGGGACUAGUGGCCAUUAGGGUCUGCUCUUUUGUGGGUGCCUGUUGAUUCUGGGUCUGUCCACUCAAGUAACCUACACUGGUUACUUGACUGCUGUGUGGUAAGCAUUCACCACCUUGAGUAUAUGGGACCACUGGUCCGACUUCCCUACCUAGUGUAUACGCCACCGAUGGUCUGACCAUCCCAUAUUGAUGAGAAGAGGUGCUCGGAUUCCCACUCAGCUGACCACUGGUGACUUGAGGACUUGAGGAUUGUCCAGUGACUGAUCGAUCCGGUCCACUUUGGGGCCAGGUAGUCUGCAUUCUCCUUGGCUUCUCAGUCUCGCCUUCUGCCAUGUGGUAUGGCAGAACGUAACCAUUU